This 253-nucleotide ribosomal RNA is filed under the name uncultured bacterium. Its description in RNAcentral is "partial 16S ribosomal RNA". It matches the Rfam family "Bacterial small subunit ribosomal RNA", at positions 524 to 776 of the family's 1533-position model. The record is from RNAcentral.
UACAGAGGGUGCGAGCGUUGUCCGGAAUCACUGGGCGUAAAGGGCGCGUAGGUGGCGGGGUAAGCGGGGGGUGAAAGCCCGGGGCUCAACCCCGUGUCUGCCAUGCGGACUGUCUUGCUCGAGCGUAGUAGAGGCAGGUGGAAUUCCGGGUGUAGCGGUGGAAUGCGUAGAGAUCCGGAAGAACACCGGUGGCGAAGGCGGCCUGCUGGGCUACUGCUGACACUGAGGCGCGACAGCGUGGGGAGCAAACAGG